This is a long non-coding RNA of Eriocheir sinensis (Chinese mitten crab), 600 nucleotides long. RefSeq lists it as uncharacterized. The record is from RefSeq and is a predicted model, not a curated record. The transcript is spliced from 3 exons. NCBI's taxonomy places the organism in Eukaryota, Metazoa, Arthropoda, Malacostraca, Decapoda, Varunidae.
GAGUGUUUCCCAUGUGGUAUUGGUGUGCUGGGUAUCCCUUCACUGGUAGCCUGGUAACAUAUGCUCCCAGGUCUUUCUGUGCCUCUGUGGUGGAUAGUGGAGUGUUUCCCAUGUGGUAUUGGUGUGCUGGAUAUCCCUUCACUGGUAGCCUGGUAACAUAUGCUCCCAGGUCUUUCUGUGCCUCUGUGGUGGAUAGUGGAGUGUUUCCCAUGUGGUAUUGGUGUGCUGGAUAUCCCUUCACUGGUAGCCUGGUAACAUAUGCUCCCAGGUCUUUCUGUGCCUCUGUGGUGGAUAGUGGAGUGUUUCCCAUGUGGUAUUGGUGUGCUGGAUAUCCCUUCACUGGUAGCCUGGUAACAUAUGCUCCCAGGUCUUUCUGUGCCUCUGUGGUGGAUAGUGGAGUGUUUCCCAUGUGGUAUUGGUGUGCUGGAUAUCCCUUCACUGGUAGCCUGGUAACAUAUGCUCCCAGGUCUUUCUCUGCCUCUGUGGUGGGUAGUGGAGUGUUUCCCAUGUGGUAUUGGUGUGCUGGAUAUCCCUUCACUGGUAGCCUGGUAACAUACACUCCCAGGUCUUUCUGUGCCUCGGGUAGUGGAGUGUUUCCCA